UACGAAGGGGGCUAGCGUUGUUCGGAAUCACUGGGCGUAAAGCGCACGCAGGCGGAUCGUUAAGUCAGGGGUGAAAUCCCGAGGCCCAACCUCGGAACUGCCUUUGAUACUGGCGAUCUUUGAGUCCGGGAGAGGUGAGUGGAACUCCGAGUGUAGAGGUGAAAUUCGUAGAUAUUCGGAAGAACACCAGUGGCGAAGGCGGCUCACUGGCCCGGUACUGACGCUCAUGUGCGAAAGCGUGGGGAGCAAACAGG
Molecule: ribosomal RNA, 254 nt
Filed under: uncultured bacterium
Lineage: Bacteria
Description: partial 16S ribosomal RNA
Rfam family: Bacterial small subunit ribosomal RNA
Source: RNAcentral